ACACCACCACCACGGCCUCGACCCUUCUCGUCCUAUCCCCAUGACGGCCUCGCCCCGCCGGCCCUUAUCCCCACGACGGCCUCACCCCGCCGGCUCCUGUCACCACUGCGGCUUUGCCUCGCCGCCAACUCCGUCAAUCUUCCCUAGACCGACUCUGCUGCCGCCAUCCUACUGCCACAGAGCGGAUCGAGAUGCGAGCUGCUGGACACGAUGCGGGAGGAGGCAUCUCAAAUUGGACGGAGAUCCAGUGCGUUGACGUGCCCGCCGUAAUCAUCGUCCCCCGUGCUUGGCUCACACAGUCGCUCCGGGAGGGAGUUCGCAGCUCACGUACGUGCUCGGUUGCUGAAGGCGCCUUCGCCACAUUGUCAUUCAUUUGUGAGAUGUUUCUCUUUCUCUAUGUUGGCAUGGAUGAUAUAUAGAGUACUGGAAGAUUGUUAGUGAAACACAUUCAGCCCAAUGAAGUGUAUCGCCUUUGAGCUCCAUUAUUUAGGCCAGAUCUCAUGAGAGAUGCUGUGUCAAUUGCAUUGGCAUCCAAUAAGGAUUGAAGUGGUGGCCGUAACACAGUUAGUUGGGAGGACCCACUGGCAGAGUCGAUGUUGGUAGAGUCGAUAUUAUUGACAUUUUCCUUGUUAGAAACAGCAGUAUAUGGUGUUCCUAAUGAAUUCAGACCAGGAAAUGAAGUCCAAUCACUCAU
Molecule: long non-coding RNA, 694 nt
Organism: Triticum dicoccoides
Lineage: Eukaryota; Viridiplantae; Streptophyta; Magnoliopsida; Poales; Poaceae
Exons: 4
Source: RefSeq, a predicted model, not a curated record